UACGUAGGGCGCAAGCGUUGUCCGGAAUUAUUGGGCGUAAAGAGCUCGUAGGCGGUGUGUCGCGUCGGCCGUGAAAACCUGCAGCUUAACUGUGGGCUUGCGGUCGAUACGGGCAUCACUGGAGUUCGGCAGGGGAGACUGGAAUUCCUGGUGUAGCGGUGAAAUGCGCAGAUAUCAGGAGGAACACCGGUGGCGAAGGCGGGUCUCUGGGCAGUAACUGACGCUGAGGAGCGAAAGCGUGGGGAGCGAACAGG
Molecule: ribosomal RNA, 254 nt
Filed under: uncultured bacterium
Lineage: Bacteria
Description: partial 16S ribosomal RNA
Rfam family: Bacterial small subunit ribosomal RNA
Source: RNAcentral